GCAAGUCGAGCGGUAACAGGAAGUGCUUGCACUUCGCUGACGAGCGGCGGACGGGUGAGUAAUGCUUGGGGAUCUGCCUUUAGGUGGGGGAUAACUACUGGAAACGGUAGCUAAUACCGCAUGAGGUCUACGGACCAACGAUAGCCUCUGUAUAUGCUAUCGCCUAGAGAUGAACCCAAGUGGGAUUAGGUAGUUGGUGAGGUAAAGGCACACCAAGCCGACGAUCCCUAGCGGGUCUGAGAGGAGGAUC
This 250-nucleotide ribosomal RNA is filed under the name uncultured bacterium. RNAcentral's name for it is "partial 16S ribosomal RNA". It matches the Rfam family "Bacterial small subunit ribosomal RNA", at positions 57 to 305 of the family's 1533-position model. The record is from RNAcentral.